Molecule: ribosomal RNA, 253 nt
Filed under: uncultured bacterium
Lineage: Bacteria
Description: partial 16S ribosomal RNA
Rfam family: Bacterial small subunit ribosomal RNA
Source: RNAcentral
UACGAAGGGGACUAGCGUUGUUCGGAAUCACUGGGCGUAAAGCGCACGUAGGCGGAUAUGUCAGUCAGGGGUGAAAUCCCGGGGCUCAACCUCGGAACUGCCUUUGAUACAGCAUAUCUUGAGUCCGAUAGAGGUGGGUGGAAUUCCUAGUGUAGAGGUGAAAUUCGUAGAUAUUAGGAAGAACACCAGUGGCGAAGGCGGCUCACUGGCCCGGUACUGACGCUCAUGUGCGAAAGCGUGGGGAGCAAACAGG